Mercurialis annua (annual mercury) is the source of this 1509-nucleotide long non-coding RNA. RefSeq lists it as uncharacterized. Lineage: Eukaryota; Viridiplantae; Streptophyta; Magnoliopsida; Malpighiales; Euphorbiaceae. The transcript is spliced from 2 exons. The record is from RefSeq and is a predicted model, not a curated record.
UUGGAUCGGAUUAAUGGUUUGGUUCGGUUUUUGCUCACCCCUAGGCGGAACCACGGGAGGGUCAGCUCCUCGCCGGAGAAAAACGAGGGAACGGUGCUACUCUACCGGUCGUCGUCUUCGUUUCGACCCCCCAGGCCAUAGCAGAUAGAGAUUUGCUGCAGGCGACGGCCGUACGUCUCUCACAAGUUGCAGCGCUGCAACUCUAAUACGGCCGGGCGUCUUUCGCAUAAUCUCAAUCUAUGAUAUGAGAUUUUGAUUUCAGAUUAUGAGGUCUAUACCAAUUGUCAUUCGCUGUGUUGAUCUUUGUUGUGAUUGUUUCUCCUUAUUUGCGUAUUAAGAUUUGAUGGAAUCUUAUUUUUGGAGUGGAUCACUUCUGUUACUUGUGGAAACAAUAAAUAUUCUGCUAUGCUCACUAUAUGUUGGAUAAAAAUCCUCAAUGAAAACUGUAUUCAUUUAAGUGAUGUUAUGGUGGUUAUGAUUGAUAAAGAAUGAUAUAAGUUGAAGCUUGUGGAGGAAGUUAAACAUGAAUAAUUUGAGGUUUAUGUCAACCAAAUUGCUUGAAAAGGGAGCAUUAUGAAUAUUGUGAGCCUGUGAUUGCUUAAUGAUGAUAAUUUUGGUGGAUUGGAGAUUCAAAGCUAUACUGGUGCAAUACAUGGAGCUAGUGUGAGAUUAGUUUCAUUUCUAGAAAUAAGAUUGCUGCUGCUGCAAAACUGCUGCAUAUUCUGCUGUUAAAUUCUCACUCUUCCCCCUAUUAGCAACGGCUAUGGGACUAUGUGCUUGUUUUCAGUAUGGCUUAUCAGCUUGCAGUAUUUGAUUUUGGUGUAUUAUAUUUGGUCUCUUCUACAUUGGAUUUGUAACAUUAAUCUGGAACAAUGAAGUUUUCAUGGUGUUGGAAGAUAUGGUAGCUUGAAAACUCUGUUUAGUGCAAGGUCUGCUGCAAAUUUACUUCCUUAUCAAGUUAGACAUAUUGAAUACAUAUGAUGAGUAGGACCAAAGUAACCAAAACUUUCUGUCAGUGGAAGCCGAAGGUAAAAAUUUCGACCCUCCUGAGGUUGAGUCCUGGUUCCGCCCCUGCGUGUGUCCGUCCGUCACUGCAAGUUGCUAUCCUGGAAUGUUAUUGCUGCUAAUAGUUGCAGCCUUUGCAAUCAGCAUCCUAAAAGCAUUGAUCAUCUGCUUUUUACUUGUGGUUUCUCUGCAGCAAUCUGGUGUACAGUUCUUCAUUAGGCAGGGUUCAUAAGGAAUCCGCUUUCUUGGAAUAAUAUAUAUAGGACUGAAUGAACAACGCUAGACAAGUUUUUUUCUACCUAAUUUGUUCAAAUACAUUUAGGAGUCUGGUGCAAUUCUAACUUCAAACAUCAAUGCUAAACCUGUAGAAUCCGAUAGUAGUCAGUGUCGCGGCCUAAAAAAUGCUGUUUUGCCAUUUUAGCAUUUGUGUUUCCUUAUAGAUAUGCAUAUUAUGAGACAAAUGUUACUAUAUCUGAAAAUGCCUUUUCCUUCUCACUUUAAAAA